Molecule: ribosomal RNA, 253 nt
Filed under: uncultured bacterium
Lineage: Bacteria
Description: partial 16S ribosomal RNA
Rfam family: Bacterial small subunit ribosomal RNA
Source: RNAcentral
UACGUAGGGGGCAAGCGUUGUCCGGAUUCAUUGGGCGUAAAGAGCGUGUAGGCGGCCAGGUAGGUCGGUUGUGAAAACUGGAGGCUCAACCUUCAGACGUCGACCGAAACCAUCUGGCUAGAGUCCGGGAGAGGAGAGUGGAAUUCCUGGUGUAGCGGUGAAAUGCGCAGAUAUCGGGAGGAACACCUAUGGCGAAGGCAGCUCGCUGGGACGUUACUGACGCUGAGACGCGAAAGCGUGGGGAGCAAACAGG